AUCAUAGAUUAAUUAAGGUUAAAAGAUUCGUCUCGCGAUUUACAGGCAAACUGCGUAAUUAAAUUUUGUUUUCGUCUAUAUUUAGUACUUCAUGUAUGUGUCGAAAGAUUUGAUUUGACGGGAAAUCUUGAAAAACUUUUUGAAUUUUGAUGAAAACUAAACAAGGCCUAAGCAUACGAACUCUACGACUAGUAAUCAAUGGUAUAGUUACUUUGUUGUCUUGUCGAGCAUAAAAAUCAACCCAUGUCAUGUCGCCGACUCACCGUGCAACUUGAUUAUUAUUACUUUUGCCGCUCUUGUUAGAUUACACAGAGCAGCAAGUGUACGUGCUGGAGCUGCUACGCAUUAUACUACACGCCUGCGCGAUUUUUUACAUCACUGGUCGCGCUCAGUACAAAGCCACAAGAUUUCUUCAGCGUAGCGACAGGUUACGCGUGCGGAUCGCCCAACUGGAUUUCACCAAAAAAAAAAAAGGAAAUGACGCAGUGUUGCUUGCUGCGUGAAGGAGGACGAGGAGCAGCAGCCCGUUCCAUGUGUACAUCUGUCAUCGGGGGCA
This 556-nucleotide long non-coding RNA is filed under the name Sorghum bicolor (sorghum). Its description in RNAcentral is "long non-coding RNA (SBIC_LNC005799)". The record is from RNAcentral. Lineage: Eukaryota; Viridiplantae; Streptophyta; Magnoliopsida; Poales; Poaceae.